ACCUCGGGAAUUGAGAAUAAUACUCCAUAGACCAUGGGAUCUGGAAUGACCCAUGGUUAAAAGUUCCGGCGCUUAAGGAUCGGUCUGCGGCCUAUCAGGUUGUAGUGGGUGUAACGUACCUACUAGCCUAUGACGGGUAUGGGCCUUGAGAGAGGGAGCCCAGAGUUGGAUUCUGAGACACGAAUCCAGGCCCUACGGGGCGCAGCAGUCGCGAAAACUUCACAAUGGGGGCAACCCCGAUGAGGGAAUUCCUAGUGCUAACACAUUUGUGUUAGCUUUUCUUUAGCGUAGAAAACUAGAGGAAUAAGGGCCGGGUAAGACGGGUGCCAGCCGCCGCGGUAAUACCUGCAGCCUAAGUGGUGGUCGAUUUUAUUGAGUCUAAAACGUUCGUAGCCGGUUUGGUAAAUCCUUGGGUAAAUCGAGGCGCUUAACGUUCCGAAUUCCGAGGAGACUGCCAAACUUGGGACCGGGAGAGGCAAGAGGUACUUUUGGGGUAGGGGUAAAAUCCUGUAAUCCUAAAAGGACCACCGGUGGCGAAGGCGUCUUGCUAGAACGGAUCCGACGGUGAGGGACGAAGCCCUGGGUCGCAAACGGGAUUAGAUACCCCGGUAGUCCAGGGUGUAAACGCUGCAGACUUGGUGUUGGGGGCCCUACGGGGGCGUUCAGUGCCGGAGAGAAGUUGUUAAGUCUGCUACUUGGGGAGUACGUCCGCAAGGAUGAAACUUAAAGGAAUUGGCGGGGGAGCAC
RNAcentral lists this ribosomal RNA (747 nucleotides) under uncultured archaeon. Its description in RNAcentral is "bacterial SSU rRNA". It matches the Rfam family "Archaeal small subunit ribosomal RNA", at positions 129 to 879 of the family's 1478-position model. The record is from RNAcentral.